This 1508-nucleotide ribosomal RNA is filed under the name metagenome. RNAcentral's name for it is "bacterial SSU rRNA". It matches the Rfam family "Bacterial small subunit ribosomal RNA". The record is from RNAcentral.
GCUCAGAUUGAACGCUGGCGGCAGGCCUAACACAUGCAAGUCGAACGGUAACAGGAAGCAGCUUGCUGCUUCGCUGACGAGUGGCGGACGGGUGAGUAAUGUCUGGGAAGCUGCCUGAUGGAGGGGGAUAACUACUGGAAACGGUAGCUAAUACCGCAUAAUGUCGCAAGACCAAAGAGGGGGACCUUCGGGCCUCUUGCCAUCGGAUGUGCCCAGAUGGGAUUAGCUUGUUGGUGGGGUAACGGCUCACCAAGGCGACGAUCCCUAGCUGGUCUGAGAGGAUGACCAGCCACACUGGAACUGAGACACGGUCCAGACUCCUACGGGAGGCAGCAGUGGGGAAUAUUGCACAAUGGGCGCAAGCCUGAUGCAGCCAUGCCGCGUGUAUGAAGAAGGCCUUCGGGUUGUAAAGUACUUUCAGCGGGGAGGAAGGGAGUAAAGUUAAUACCUUUGCUCAUUGACGUUACCCGCAGAAGAAGCACCGGCUAACUCCGUGCCAGCAGCCGCGGUAAUACGGAGGGUGCAAGCGUUAAUCGGAAUUACUAGGCGUAAAGCGCACGCAGGCGGUUUGUUAAGUCAGAUGUGAAACCCCCGGGCUCAACCUGGGAACUGCAUCUGAUACUGGCAAGCUUGAGUCUCGUAGAGGGGGGUAGAAUUCCAGGUGUAGCGGUGAAAUGCGUAGAGAUCUGGAGGAAUACCGGUGGCGAAGGCGGCCCCCUGGACGAAGACUGACGCUCAGGUGCGAAAGCGUGGGGAGCAAACAGGAUUAGAUACCCUGGUAGUCCACGCCGUAAACGAUGUCGACUUGGAGGUUGUGCCCUUGAGGCGUGGCUUCCGGAGCUAACGCGUUAAGUCGACCGCCUGGGGAGUACGGCCGCAAGGUUAAAACUCAAAUGAAUUGACGGGGGCCCGCACAAGCGGUGGAGCAUGUGGUUUAAUUCGAUGCAACGCGAAGAACCUUACCUGGUCUUGACAUCCACGGAAGUUUUCAGAGAUGAGAAUGUGCCUUCGGGAACCGUGAGACAGGUGCUGCAUGGCUGUCGUCAGCUCGUGUUGUGAAAUGUUGGGUUAAGUCCCGCAACGAGCGCAACCCUUAUCCUUUGUUGCCAGCGGUCCGGCCGGGAACUCAAAGGAGACUGCCAGUGAUAAACUGGAGGAAGGUGGGGAUGACGUCAAGUCAUCAUGGCCCUUACGACCAGGGCUACACACGUGCUACAAUGGCGCAUACAAAGAGAAGCGACCUCGCGAGAGCAAGCGGACCUCAUAAAGUGCGUCGUAGUCCGGAUUGGAGUCUGCAACUCGACUCCAUGAAGUCGGAAUCGCUAGUAAUCGUGGAUCAGAAUGCCACGGUGAAUACGUUCCCGGGCCUUGUACACACCGCCCGUCACACCAUGGGAGUGGGUUGCAAAAGAAGUAGGUAGCUUAACCUUCGGGAGGGCGCUUACCACUUUGUGAUUCAUGACUGGGGUGAAGUCGGAACAAGGUAACCGUAGGGGAACCUGCGGUUG